This 253-nucleotide ribosomal RNA is filed under the name uncultured bacterium. RNAcentral describes it as "partial 16S ribosomal RNA". It matches the Rfam family "Bacterial small subunit ribosomal RNA", at positions 524 to 776 of the family's 1533-position model. The record is from RNAcentral.
UACAGAGGUCCCAAGCGUUGUUCGGAUUCACUGGGCGUAAAGGGUGCGUAGGCGGUCGGGUAAGUCUGAUGUGAAAUCUCACAGCUUAACUGUGAAACUGCAUUGGAUACUAUCCGGCUUGAGGAAUGGAGGGGAGACUGGAAUACUUGGUGUAGCAGUGAAAUGCGUAGAUAUCAAGUGGAACACCAGUGGCGAAGGCGAGUCUCUGGACAUUUCCUGACGCUGAGGCACGAAAGCCAGGGGAGCAAACGGG